AUCUCUGUAUUUUAAAAUCCAUGGCAUCUCAUGGUUCAACAUUAGAAUAUCCAUCACUAUGAUUCAUUAAGUAAAUAAAUUAAAGAUGGAACAUCAUAUUGCCUCUUUACGCUUUGGGUUUUAGUAAUAUCCUUUCACAUUCAUAAUCCAGAUAGCGAGAUAAGCAAGAUUUUAUGCACCGAGGCCUUUCCUUCAUUGCUCUUUCAAACUGAAAAACAUUGCUGCCAUUUUAGCCAACAGUUAAACUUUACUACAAAAUAUUUUGAUACCCUUUUCUUAAAGUAAUCUGCAACUCACAUGGUGAAGCUCAAAUCCCAUUUGGGAAUUCAGCAAACUAGCUGAUUCUGCAACAUGAAAUCCUAUGAGAUUUUGGAUGUGGAUUUGUCUGAGUACAUGGGAGUUGACAUCAAAUACUUCACAAAUACUAUACCUUCCAGGAAUCCACAUUUUCUUUAUUGGAUGCAGAAUUGUGAACUCUUUAAGAAAUAGCUGAAUCAUUAUUUCUUGACUCUCUCCUGCUUGUUAAAGCAGGACUAUAAA
Molecule: long non-coding RNA, 540 nt
Filed under: Lynx pardinus (Iberian lynx)
Lineage: Eukaryota; Metazoa; Chordata; Mammalia; Carnivora; Felidae
Source: RNAcentral